Molecule: long non-coding RNA, 1227 nt
Filed under: Chrysolophus pictus (golden pheasant)
Lineage: Eukaryota; Metazoa; Chordata; Aves; Galliformes; Phasianidae
Description: lncRNA (ENSCPIG00010010936.1)
Source: RNAcentral
AUGAUCCCACUGCUUCCAAGGCCACGCCAGGUAUUCCUUCUCCUUUACACGCUUCACCCAAUACAGCCAGGUACCACAUUCUCCACAGGAACUUUAUUGCUCAGGCUGGUAGACACGGGACUGAAAGAAGGCACUGAGGAUCCCCCCCUUCUUUACAGCAUACUGGUAAGUACAUUGGGCAGUAUAAGAUUCCAUCAUCUCCAGCACAUGUCACUUUGCACUUCAUCUUCUUCCCCAGAGGAGGAGAUUGCAGCAGAUACACACAACCCUUUGUUGUCUCACUCUGAAGGCAACUUUGGGAUAGACCAUCUCUCUGUGUGCAAGGGCUGGGAACAGCUCAGCCAGCAAAGCCCCAGCGCCUCAGGGAAGAUCCGUGGGGACCCAGUGCUGGCAGGUGUCCUCCUUUAAGCGUUAACAGUGAGGACCAUCUGUUCACAAGUUGGUGCUUUCUGCAGCCCUCGCUGAAGCUACGCUAGAAAUACAGCCCAGGGUUGAGACAAACACAUGGAGGUCCAUCACUGACGACUGUUCUGAGGAGAACAGACUCAAAUUAAUGUAAUCUGUUGUCUAUUAUUAAAAGCAGACUAACGUAUCCAGAAAUGAAGGGAAACAAAAAACAACAUCCCUCUUCUCCCACCCGUCCUCUUCUUCAUCAUCCCCCAGUGCGCUGCAGAGGAACGGGGUAUGUGGAGGUAAGAUCUCUCUGUAAUGCAAUCCUCAGUCUGCGAUUGUGCAAGAACUGCUCCAGGAUGUGUCCAUACAACAGGGUGCUCUCCUUUAGGAAAUGAAUGCAGCAGAAAGUGUGUCCCGUGGGUGGCAGCUCCUGCAGGGUCCAGUGCUCAUCCAUGAGCUUCUCUCUCCAAGGGCUGCAGUUCUGGCCCAGAGUCUGCUCCCGUGAGGGCUCUGCACGGCCUGCAGCCUCCUUCAGUCCAGAUGCAUCUGCUCCACCGUCAUCUCCUCCCUGGCCAUUACAGCGCUAAACAAAGACUUAAUGGGCUGCUUGAGCACCACGAGAAUUUCACAAAGACAGCGCAAAGCAAGUUUCCAAAGAAGUUUAGGAAUCUGCAUGCCUGCAUUAUCAAACUGCAGUUUCAACAAGGCCACACACUGAGCAGUGUGCCCUCACUUUGGACUAGCCAUGCUUGUAACUCUUUCUUGGACUAGCAAUGGACCUCCUGAGGUGCCUUGCACUCCGGCUCCCUCCAUGAAGCUGCAGUUCUCACAAAC